This 1161-nucleotide long non-coding RNA is filed under the name Piliocolobus tephrosceles (Ugandan red Colobus). Its description in RNAcentral is "lncRNA (ENSPTEG00000004192.1)". The record is from RNAcentral. Lineage: Eukaryota; Metazoa; Chordata; Mammalia; Primates; Cercopithecidae.
GCCUCAGCCGCAGUUCGGAACGUGCCCGCCCGGCUCCCGUACCCACGCCCCGCCGGCGAAGAGACAGCCAAUGGACGUCAGGAUUGAGGGAAGGCCACGCCCUCCCACGGAGGCCUUGGCGAGUGGGUGGUGCCUUACGUAAGAGGCGGAGACUGGGUUACUGGGCUCCUGCUGUAAAGCUAGUCAGGGCCGGAGAGGCAGGAGGGCGGGGCCGGGAACAACCCCAGGAGGAGGCAGUGUCUGCCAUGAGAGAAAGUGAGUGUGUGUGCCCUUUGCGGGGGCUCACGCCGGUAACUCCAGCACUUUGGUAGGCCGAGGCGGGAGGAUUGCUUGAGCCCAGGAGUUCGAGACUAGCCUGAGCAACAUAGUGACCUCGCCCCACCCCAUCCCUACAAAGUUUUUUUUUUUGUUUUUUUUGUUUUUUGUUUUAAUUUAGCCAAGCGCAGUGACUUAUGCCUGUAAUCUCAGCACUCUGGAAGGCCGAGGAUCGCUUGAGCCCAGGAGUUCGAGACCAGCCUGGGCAACAGCAAGAGCUCCAUCGCUACAAAACAUUUUUAAAAAUGUGCCUCUACUUCUGGAUUGUCAACCCCAAGUUGGGCUCUGCCCCGUGAUCUGCCACCUCUUUAAUAGAACCACCUGGGGCAUGUCUGAGCUGAGCCCCAAGCCCCACUCCUCUGCCAGUCAGAUGGGGUCAGGACUCUGGGCUGCCCUCCAAAAGGCUCUCAGGAAGGCGCUGAGUUCUGGCUGGAGUCAGAAGUGGAGAGACUUGCAGGAGGGGCAUAGAAGGAAAGCUUUCCUCUUAAAUAGAGGUGUGUAUUUGUGAUUCUGCCUGGCUCGUUUCCAUUCAUCCUUCAUGCUUCAGCUCAUCUAGCCCCUUCCUCAGGAAGCUCUCGUGACCUCCCUAGGCAGGGUUGGUUGCUUCCUCUGGACUCCCAGGGCCCUCUAGGAUUCCCGGAUUCCAGCCUUGAUCUGUACCCUUGCUUCCCUCAUCACAGCCCUGACCACUCUGGGCUGUCUUCUUUCUUUCUUUCUUUCUUUCUUUCUUUCUUUCUUUCUUUCUUUCUCUUUCUUUCUUUCUUUCUUUCUCUCUCUCUCUCUCUCUCUCUCUCUCUCUCUCUUUCUUUCUUUCUUUCUUUCUUUUUCUUUCUUCUUUCGAGAUGG